CCCUAGUAACGGCGAGUGAAGCGGCAACAGCUCAAUUUGAAAUCUGGCGCAGCCCGAGUUGUAAUUUGUAGAGGAUGUUUCUGGCGACGUGCCUUCCGAGUUCCCUGGAACGGGACGCCAUAGAGGGUGAGAGCCCCGUACGGUUGGAUGCCUAGCCUCUGUGAAACUCCUUCGACGAGUCGAGUAGUUUGGGAAUGCUGCUCUAAAUGGGAGGUAUACGUCUUCUAAAGCUAAAUACCGGCCAGAGACCGAUAGCGCACAAGUAGAGUGAUCGAAAGAUGAAAAGCACUUUGAAAAGAGGGUUAAAAAGUACGUGAAAUUGUUGAAAGGGAAGCGUUCAUGACCAGACUUGGGCAGGUUGAUCAUCCGUGGUUCUCCGCGGUGCACUCUGCCUGCCCAGGCCAGCAUCAGUUCGUCCCGGGGGAUAAAGGCUUUGGGAAUGUGGCUCCUUCGGGAGUGUUAUAGCCCAUUGUGUAAUACCCUGGGGUGGACUGAGGUUCGCGCUCUGCAAGGAUGCUGGCGUAAUGGUCAUCAACGACCCGUCUUGAAACACGGACCAAGGAGUCGUCUUCGUAUGCGAGUGUUCGGGUGUCAAACCCCUACGCGUAAUGAAAGUGAACGUAGGAGAGAGCUUCGGCGCAUCUCCGACCGAUCCUGAUGUUCUCGGAUGGAUUUGAGUAAGAGCAUACGGGGCCGGACCCGAAAGAAGGUGAACUAUGCCUGUAUAGGGUGAAGCCAGAGGAAACUCUGGUGGAGGCUCGCAGCGGUUCUGACGUGCAAAUCGAUCGUCAAAUAUGGGCAUGGGGGCGAAAGACUAAUCGAACCUUCUAGUAGCUGGUUUCG
This 843-nucleotide ribosomal RNA is filed under the name Clonostachys krabiensis. RNAcentral's name for it is "partial large subunit ribosomal RNA". It matches the Rfam family "Eukaryotic large subunit ribosomal RNA", at positions 78 to 959 of the family's 3401-position model. The record is from RNAcentral. Lineage: Eukaryota; Fungi; Ascomycota; Sordariomycetes; Hypocreales; Bionectriaceae.